CUCUCUGGGUCUCUCUAUGGGUCUCUAUGGGUCUCUCUAUGGGUCUCUAUGGGUCUCUAUGGGUCUCUCUAUGGGUCUCUAUGGGUCUCUAUGGGUCUCUAUGGGUCUCUCUAUGGGUCUCUAUGGGUCUCUAUGGGGUCUCUCUAUGGGUCUCUAUGGGUCUCUCUAUGGGUCUCUCUAUGGGUCUCUCUAUGGGUCUCUCUAUGGGUCUCUAUGGGUCUCUCUAUGGGUCUCUGUGGGUCUCUAUGGAUCUCUCUAUGGGUCUCUGUGGGUCUCUAUGGGGUCUCUAUGGGGUCUCUAUGGGGUCUCUCUGGGUCUCUCUAUGGGUCUCUAUGUGGGUCUCUAUGGGUCUCUAUGGUCUCUAUGGGUCUCUAUGGGUCACUCUAUGGGUCUCUCUAUGGGUCUCUAUGGGUCUCUAUGGGUCUCUCUGUGGGGCUCUCUGUGGGUCUCUCUGGGUCUCUCUGGGUCUCUAUGGGGUCUCUAUGGGUCUCUAUGCGUCUCUAUGCGUCUCUGUGGGUCUCUCUAUGGGUCUCUCUGGGCCCUUAUGUGUCCCUACUAUGGGUCUGGGACCCCCAAGUGUGGGGCUGGGCACCUAAGCGAGGGACUAGCUCCCCAAGUGUGGGUCAGGGACCCACAAGUGUGGGUCUCAGACCCCUGUCUCUGUGUCCGAGGCCACCACUGUAGCUCCA
RNAcentral lists this long non-coding RNA (689 nucleotides) under Numida meleagris (helmeted guineafowl). Its description in RNAcentral is "lncRNA (ENSNMEG00000002537.1)". Lineage: Eukaryota; Metazoa; Chordata; Aves; Galliformes; Numididae. The record is from RNAcentral.